Molecule: long non-coding RNA, 213 nt
Filed under: Lathyrus oleraceus (garden pea)
Lineage: Eukaryota; Viridiplantae; Streptophyta; Magnoliopsida; Fabales; Fabaceae
Description: Pisum sativum (pea) long non-coding RNA (PSAT_LNC002375)
Source: RNAcentral
CUAAAGAUCCUUGAGGCAAUGCAAGUGCAAUGUUAUGAUGCCAUAAGGGAUCUUAGGGACAAAAUUGGGGUCUUACAGAUGCCCCAUAUUUAAGGUCAUUCUAACCGGAGAAGUGAAGGUUAAAAUCUUCAUCUCGACGGGGUAGAAUGGGCUUAAAUAAUAACAAAGAGACGGAUUUUGGUCCCUAAGAGACCUCAUGAUGCAGAUGUAUGC